CUUUUUUUUUGGCUACCGAUGCUGGUAAUCUCGGCUAGUUAGUGCUUCGUAGAAUCUACCAUCGGAUCAGAAACGCGC
Non-coding RNA from Bombyx mori (domestic silkworm), 78 nucleotides. The record is from RefSeq and is marked provisional. NCBI's taxonomy places the organism in Eukaryota, Metazoa, Arthropoda, Insecta, Lepidoptera, Bombycidae.